UACGUAGGUGGCAAGCGUUGUCCGGAUUUAUUGGGUUUAAAGGGUGCGUAGGCGGUUUUUUAAGUCAGUGGUGAAAUCCUAUAGCUUAACUAUAGAACUGCCAUUUAUACUGUGAUUCUUGAAUAUAGUUGACGUGGGCGGAAUAUGACAUGUAGCGGUGAAAUGCUUAGAUAUGUCAUAGAACACCAAUUGCGAAGGCAGCUCACGAAACUAUUAUUGACGCUCAGGGACGAAAGUGUGGGUAGCAAACAGG
This 253-nucleotide ribosomal RNA is filed under the name uncultured bacterium. Its description in RNAcentral is "partial 16S ribosomal RNA". It matches the Rfam family "Bacterial small subunit ribosomal RNA", at positions 524 to 776 of the family's 1533-position model. The record is from RNAcentral.